UGUUUCGGCUAGGGGGUCAUCCCGACUUACCAACCCGAUGCAAACUACGAAUACCGAAGAAUGUUAUCACGGGAGACACACGGCGGGUGCUAACGUCCGUCGUGAAGAGGGAAACAACCCAGACCGCCAGCUAAGGUCCCAAAGUCAUGGUUAAGUGGGAAACGAUGUGGGAAGGCACAGACAGCCAGGAUGUUGGCUUAGAAGCAGCCAUCAUUUAAAGAAAGCGUAAUAGCUCACUGGUCGAGUCGGCCUGCGCGGAAGAUGUAACGGGGCUAAACCAUGCACCGAAGCUGCGGCAGCGACACUAUGUGUUGUUGGGUA
This 321-nucleotide ribosomal RNA is filed under the name Klebsiella pneumoniae. Its description in RNAcentral is "partial 23S ribosomal RNA". It matches the Rfam family "Bacterial large subunit ribosomal RNA", at positions 911 to 1230 of the family's 2925-position model. RNAcentral also lists the same sequence under 2 other names. Lineage: Bacteria; Pseudomonadati; Pseudomonadota; Gammaproteobacteria; Enterobacterales; Enterobacteriaceae. The record is from RNAcentral.